This 1355-nucleotide ribosomal RNA is filed under the name uncultured fungus. RNAcentral's name for it is "eukaryotic LSU rRNA". The stretch from base 712 to 1355 matches the Rfam family "Eukaryotic large subunit ribosomal RNA", at positions 1 to 649 of the family's 3401-position model. The record is from RNAcentral. Lineage: Eukaryota; Fungi.
AAGUCGUAACAAGGUUUCCGUAGGUGAACCUGCGGAAGGAUCAUUAAAAUAAUAGGUUCGGAACCUUUGAUCGGGUUCUGAACCUUUGGCGCGCAGCACCCGGGUGGGUAGCUUAUCUAAGGAGUUGUGGUUAUUGCCGUUACAAGCUUUGGAAUGGGCAUGACCGAGGGUCGCGCCUACGGUGUUAUCUUCACGCGUAGGUUUCCUCUUGCCGCCGGACUUACAGUGAUCCCACCCGCUGGAUCCAUGACCAAAAAACCCCCUGUGAAACAUCUCCUUGCUUAGGCAGCACCUCCUUACGGGGUGUGGUCAGUCUGCCUGAAGCCCUAAAAAGAAACUCUUUGUCAAGAAACAUUUGUCCGAUAAGCAGUCUAACGACUUUAAAACUUUCAACAACGGAUCUCUUGGUUCUCGCAUCGAUGAAGAACGCAGCGAAACGCGAUAGGUAAUGUGAAUUGCAGAAUCUAGUGAAUCAUCGAAUCUUUGAACGCACAUUGCGCCUUCUGGUAUUCCGGGAGGCAUGUCUGUUUGAGCGUCAGCAAACCCUCAGAGCAUUGCUUUGGUAUUGGGAUGGGACGGGCGCUUGGCGCCUCCCCCGCCUUAACGUUGCCGACGAUAGCGAUCCAGCUGGUGGACAGUAGACGUAGUAAGUAAAGUAACUCAACGUUUCCUGGCUCUGCAGGCGGUUGCCCCUCAAAGACCUUGAACUUUUGACCUCAGAUCAGACAAGGAUACCCGCUAAACUUAAGCAUAUCAAUAAGCGGAGGAAAAGAAACCAACAGGGAUUGCCUCAGUAACGGCGAGUGAAGCGGCAAGAGCUCAGAUUUGAAAUCAGGCGCCUUCCAGCGUUCGAGUUGUAAUCUGAAGAGGAGACUUCGGUUCGGACGCCGGUCCAUGUUCCUUGGGACAGGACGUCGCAGAGGGUGAGAAUCCCGUAUCCGGCUGGCGCCCCCGUUCCAUGUGAAGCUCCUUCGACGAGUCGAGUUGUUUGGGAAUGCAGCUCAAACUGGGUGGUAAAUUCCAUCUAAAGCUAAAUACCGGCGAGAGACCGAUAGCGCACAAGUAGAGUGAUCGAAAGAUGAAAAGCACUUUGAAAAGAGAGUUAAACAGUACGUGAAAUUGUUGAAAGGGAAGCGCUUGCCAUCAGAAUAGCGACCUACUGAUCAACGUACCUUCUGGUGCGCGCACUUGGUGGGCUGUCUUGCCAGCAUCGGUUGCUGGCGGCGGGACAAAGGCUCCGGGAAUGUGGCUCCCCUCGGGGAGUGUUAUAGCCCGCGUGCGUAAUGCCGCCUGCCGCGACCGAGGUUCUCGCGCCCUCACGGGCUAGGAUGCUGGCCUAAUGGUCGUAAGCGACC